GUCCACACCGUAAACGAUGAUUACUAGGUGUUGGAGGAUUGACCCCUUCAGUGCCGCAGUUAACACAAUAAGUAAUCCACCUGGGGAGUACGACCGCAAGGUUGAAACUCAAAGGAAUUGACGGGGCCCGCACAAGCAGUGGAGUAUGUGGUUUAAUUCGACGCAACGCGAAGAACCUUACCAAGUCUUGACAUCCUGCGACGCACAUAGAAAUAUGUGUUUCCUUCGGGACGCAGAGACAGGUGGUGCAUGGUUGUCGU
This 260-nucleotide ribosomal RNA is filed under the name uncultured bacterium. RNAcentral's name for it is "partial 16S ribosomal RNA". It matches the Rfam family "Bacterial small subunit ribosomal RNA", at positions 793 to 1055 of the family's 1533-position model. The record is from RNAcentral.